UUUAAGAAAAAAAAAAGAUGUAUACCAACAUUCAGUAACUUCGUAUCUUUUUUCUGUUAUAGUGUCCAAGAAAUUGUUGACUUUGACAUUGACCGUUCGUUGUCACAUUAGUGUAUUUAUUUUAGCAACGAUUUUUGAAUUAGAAAUCCAAAAUGUUUAAGUCAGUAUGACCAAUCACCAAUAUAAUAAGUGUAUUACUUUCAUUUCGAUAAAUUUUGAUUUUUCUGGAGUACAAUCAAACAUUAAGGCAACAUAAUUUAACUUCUUUACACCAAAGUGCAAAUAAGUGGUAAAAAAAGCAGCAAACAACUAAGUAAACUAGGGCGCAUUAGAUAUACGAAAAAUGAAUGAGGAAGAAGUAAAAAACAAGACCAACAGAGACCAAGAACUACAAAUACCAUACGAAGAAAAUAAGUACAUGUAGGCCAUUUCAAAACGAAGUAACGAAAAAAUUGAUGAAAAAGGGUCAAUUGAAAAGAACGUCAGAUAAACUGCAGAAAUCAUUACAAGACAAGCAUCUAAGGUACAAUCAUAAAAGCCUUUGUAAUUAAGAAUGCUGUACCGAACUUACCAAAUUUCUCUUAGCCAUAUCUCCCAUGACACUGGCUGAAAAUAAAAUAAAAAAUGCAUAAAUAAAUUAUUAUUUAUA
Agrilus planipennis (emerald ash borer) is the source of this 649-nucleotide long non-coding RNA. RefSeq lists it as uncharacterized. NCBI's taxonomy places the organism in Eukaryota, Metazoa, Arthropoda, Insecta, Coleoptera, Buprestidae. The record is from RefSeq and is a predicted model, not a curated record. The transcript has 2 exons.